GCACAAGCGGUGGAGCAUGUGGUUUAAUUUCGACGCAACGCGAGAACCUUACCAGGGCUUGACAUCCCCUGACCGCGUAUGAAAGUACGUUUUCACCCUCGGGUGACAGGGAGACAGGUGGUGCAUGGUUGUCGUCAGCUCGUGUCGUGAGAUGUUGGGUUAAGUCCCGCAACGAGCGCAACCCCUACGUUUAGUUGCUAACGCGUGAAGGCGAGCACUCUAGACGAACUGCCGUUGACAAAACGGAGGAAGGUGGGGAUGACGUCAAAUCAUCAUGCCCCUUAUGUUCUGGGCUACACACGUGCUACAAUGGCCGGUACAGACGGAGGCGAAGCCGCGAGGCGGAGCAAAUCCGAAAAAGCCGGUCUCAGUUCGGAUUGCAGGCUGCAAUUCGCCUGCAUGAAGUCGGAAUCGCUAGUAAUCGCAGGUCAGCAUACUGCGGUGAAUACGUUCCCGGGCCUU
Molecule: ribosomal RNA, 462 nt
Filed under: uncultured Pelotomaculum sp.
Lineage: Bacteria; Bacillati; Bacillota; Clostridia; Eubacteriales; Desulfotomaculaceae
Description: bacterial SSU rRNA
Rfam family: Bacterial small subunit ribosomal RNA
Source: RNAcentral